GGGCGGCCCUCGCCACGGGAUCCCGCCGCGGUUUGCCGGCGCCGCUGUUUUAAUUGACGGCCGAAGCGUGGUUUCAAAGACGUGCUUUGCUGAUAUUCUCUGUGGACAUGGAACGCGGCGGCUGUCGGUGCCGCGCAACCCUCUUGCGCGGUCCACCCUGUCUGCAGUGGAUCCCUGCCGGCAAAGCCGGCGGUCGGCCAGGCGGAUUUGUAACAUACUGGAAAUGGCUCUAACCCCGCGCGGGAUCCGAGGGCAGGAGGACGCGGGAGGCACCACUCCGAGAGCUCUGCUGCAGAGUGUGGUCUCGCGUACGUUAACAGUCUCUCAGCUGUGGAUUUGCAACUGAUAGCGACCGCUUCCCCGACGCAUUUAAGGAGGCUCUAGCUAGCCGCCCUGGGAGCCCGCCUAAGAGGGCUGAAACUAUGAGGCGGUAACCGGCCCUUGCCAAGGGGACCGGCAGCGCGAAGUAACCGCGCCGGCGGCCAGCGGCCCGACCACCGCUUCGCCUCCGGCCAUGUAGGCGCAAGACGACGAGCGCGCGGGUCGGUUCCUGGUGUGUGUGUCCCACCGGUGCGCGCAUCCUCCCCGCCAGGCAGCCGCCCAGGCGCUCUCGCCCGUCGCAUGGCCGGCCGGUAGCACGGGGAACUCCUCCCGCCCCAGCACACAGAAACUGAGUCAAGCAAGAACUCUAAAGCUUGUUCAACCCCUGCCCACCCUCCCCCAAGAAUUAAGUUCAUCAGAGCCAGUGUGACACAAGUGCUGCAGUACCUCGGUUUUAUACAUAGAAAGUCAGCCAGGUAAGAUGCUAUAAAGACUGACCUGAGCCUGAGGAGACCUUCUUGAAUGACUUCAUCGUCUUCGGAGGAACCUAAAAUCAGAGAGCUGGAGUCAGUUCUGUGUACAUUGUACCAGAGUACCAUAUUUAAUUACCUCUUUUCCAGUUUAACGGCUCAUUAGAAGGCCAUAAAAUGCCAGGGCAUUGACUCUGUGAAGUGACCUGUAAACUUAUUAACUGUUUGAGACUUACCUAGCUCAUCAGAACCACAAUGAGAUAACAGAGGCAUUAGAUAAAAAUCAGCCACUGAUUAUUUUUUUUUCCCCAAGCAUCCAUAAAGGGACUGCCCCUUUCAUUGGUCUGUUAUGAAAAUGCAGUUGAUAACAGCAGAAGGGAAAAACACAGAUUUGCACGAUAUUGCAAGGUGUUUGUUUCCUUUAUCAAUAUUUAAUUGCAAUAGGUAACCUAAGAACUAGUGAGUUGUCUUUACUACAAUUAAAUUGUACAAAUUAAACAGUCAUACCUUGUAUGUAUGCGAUUAAAAAACAAACCCAAAUGAUUCUUCAGGACUCUUCCAUGUAACUCAAUGCCAAUUUAUGAUAUCACUGGAGAAAUGCUUUCCAUUAUAUCAGUUUUAAAACUGUAGAGCAUAAUAUGUAAUAAUAUUAAAUUCUAAGACUCAAUCUGAACAAAACCAGUCAUAAAAAUACAGAUGUGUGACUUGAUCAAAGCUACAUGAAAGAUGUACUUUUGAUCUAGUUGAGCAAGACCUGGCUAAUUUUGUAUAAUGCCAAUAAGAGUAUAACACACAAAAUGAGUGUCACAGAUGGUAGGAAGCACGAAGGAAAAGACCUUGGGUUUGGAGCAAACUUGUUGCUUAGGCUGUCCAGUUUGUUAAUAAAUGAGAGAUAAAUAGAUAGGAGCAUGCAAAAACUCACCUUCUACAAGCUUCUCUCCUCUUGUCACCCUCUUAUUGUCUUUUGAAUAAUCUAUUUUAACUAAAACCCAUACAAAAUCAACAAGGAAUUGCAUUAUUCUCCUGUUGAGAUAGAAACCAAAUUCUCUUCUCUUUUAAAGAAAACUGAGAUAACUUUUUCAAAUUUAAGAGCACAUCCUAAGAGUUAUCCUCCUCUCUUACUGAAAAACCAGGAUAUUCUACUAGGAGUGGACAAAGCCAGAAGAAUCACCAAAGACAAAUUAGAAUUUAGUUUCUCUUAACUUCUUUUCCCCUACAGCCAGUUACCCUGAAUCCUUUCCAACACAAGGAAUUGGAAAAGGGGAUGGUACAAUCUUUCUUUUCAGUGCAACAACACUGGCAAACUGAUUCAGUUCUUCUUCUGUAGUAACUAAGUUUUCCACUGAAAUUGUGUGGACUUUUUUGCCUUGCAUUAAACCUAGCUUUACUUUUACACCUUCAAGCACUGAAGCCCAUUCUCUUGUGUCUGCUGCUUUGUUCUGCCAACCUGUAGCUAUGUGGCUUUUGUGUCUUUCGGAUUUACUUGCAUUAUUUAUGCAACAUAAUGAAAUAUGCAAGCAUAGAGUAAAGGAUACAUUCUUGGCUUUGGCACGUAGUCUGCUUUAGUUUAUGAAGGUAUUAAAAAUAAGUAUUUGGGGAGCAGGGUCGGGACUCAAAGGGGGAAAUUGCGGUUCUUAAGAAUUAUAGCAGAAACAGCACAAGCUCAAGUUAAUAGUUUCCAGUAUCGCAUUGCGUAAUGUGUUUGUAAGUAUUACAUACUUGAGAGUGUCAAAUAAACAGAUUAUUAAGUAGAAAA
RNAcentral lists this long non-coding RNA (2547 nucleotides) under Strigops habroptila (Kakapo). RNAcentral describes it as "lncRNA (ENSSHBG00005007156.1)". The record is from RNAcentral. Lineage: Eukaryota; Metazoa; Chordata; Aves; Psittaciformes; Psittacidae.